RNAcentral lists this ribosomal RNA (524 nucleotides) under Nephila constricta. RNAcentral describes it as "bacterial SSU rRNA". It matches the Rfam family "Eukaryotic small subunit ribosomal RNA", at positions 537 to 1067 of the family's 1831-position model. The record is from RNAcentral. Lineage: Eukaryota; Metazoa; Arthropoda; Arachnida; Araneae; Nephilidae.
GAAAGGACCGAUUGGAGGGCAAGUCUGGUGCCAGCAGCUGCGGUAACUCCAGCUCCGAUAGCGUAAGCUAAAUUUGUUGCGGAUGAAAAGCUCGUAGUCCGCAGUCAGCCCGGGGCGGCGGGGCGCGUCAGCGCCCCUUCCGGACUCGCGGGCUCUGGCCGUUUUCCGGACCGCGAUCUUCACCGGUCGUGGCACGGGGUCCGGUCAGUUUACCUUGAAGAAACUGAAGUGCUCAGAGCAGGCCUGUCGCCCGCACAAGGAUGCAUGGAAUAAUGCAAGAGGACCUCGGUUCUAUUGUGUUGGUUUUCGGAACCGGAGGUAAUGAUCAAUAGGAACAGACGGGGGCAUUCGUACUGAGGCGCUAGAGGUGAAAUUCUUGGACCGCCGCAGGACGAACUACUGCGAAAGCAUUUGCCAAGAAUGUUUUCAUUGACCAAGAACGAAAGUUAGAGGUUCGAAGGCGAUCAGAUACCGCCGUAGUUCUGACCGUAAACUAUGCCAGCCAGCGAUCCGGUGCUGUUUGA